RNAcentral lists this ribosomal RNA (500 nucleotides) under uncultured bacterium. RNAcentral's name for it is "bacterial SSU rRNA". It matches the Rfam family "Bacterial small subunit ribosomal RNA", at positions 367 to 858 of the family's 1533-position model. The record is from RNAcentral.
GNACAUGGGCGCAAGCCUGAUCCAGCCAUGCCGCGUGAGUGAAGAAGGCCCUCGGUUUGUAAAGCUCUUUUGUUGGGGAAGAAAAGCAUCCGGUUAAUACUCGGGUGUUCUGACGGUACCCAAAGAAUAAGCACCGGCUAACUUCGUGCCAGCAGCCGCGGUAAUACGAAGGGUGCAAGCGUUACUCGGAAUUACUGGGCGUAAAGCGUGCGUAGGUGGUUUGUUAAGUCUGAUGUGAAAGCCCUGGGCUCAACCUGGGAAUUGCAUUGGAUACUGGCAGGCUAGAGUGCGGCAGAGGGUAGUGGAAUUCCCGGUGUAGCAGUGAAAUGCGUAGAGAUCAGGAGGAACAUCCGUGGCGAAGGCGACUGCCUGGGCCAGCACUGACACUGAGGCACGAAAGCGUGGGGAGCAAACAGGAUUAGAUACCCUGGUAGUCCACGCCCUAAACGAUGCGAACUGGAUGUUGGGCUCAAUUUGGAGCUCAGUAUCGAAGCUAACGC